This is a long non-coding RNA of Triticum dicoccoides, 1667 nucleotides long. RefSeq lists it as uncharacterized. The transcript has 3 exons. NCBI's taxonomy places the organism in Eukaryota, Viridiplantae, Streptophyta, Magnoliopsida, Poales, Poaceae. The record is from RefSeq and is a predicted model, not a curated record.
CGAGGGCGAGCGAGCGGCUUGGAGAGCCACGACCAAUCGCUCUCCCGAAAACCUAGCGAAAAAGGACCAAUCCACUCUUUCCUCGAGCCCCACGCACUCCAUGCCGUCCCGCCUCCCUGCUCCUUACCCUCCGCCGCACGGCCUCUGGCGUCGCGGCCUUCUCACUCGCCUGCGGCCGGGUGCGAGAUGCCACCGGCGACAUGGCUGCGUGCGGAGGCGCGACAUGGAUGUGAGCAUCUGACCGAAUCCGGUCGCAGUGCCCGUCCAGCUCGCCGUGGCCAACCCGGCUCGCGUCGGCUGGGGCCGCGCCCCUCCCCUAACGGCGGGGAUGAUGGAGGGAUCUGCCGGCGCCGGCCAGGCUCCCGAUCGACGGGCUCGCCGGGUCGCCGCCCCUCGGGGCCAGCCCGUCACGCCGCGCCGGCUAGGGGACCCCUCGGGGAUGCCGCCCAUGCGGCGGGGACGUCCGGCGGCGGCGCGGGCUGGGGACCGAGCGGCAGGGCCCGUGAUGCGUUCCGGUCGAGGGAUUGGUCGGGCCGGCGCGGGAUCUGAGCCGCCGUCGAUGGAUUUCUCGCAGCUUGGCUACAUGUUGCUUUGGAUCCGAUACGAUCCCCAUCUCUCUCAAGUCCUCCCGCCACGUCUUCUCCUUCGGUGCUAUGAGGUUCCUCCGCUUGCCUAUCUGAUGCGAUCUUGGAGGAAGAAGACGCGAUUUUGAUUUGAUUCGGUUUUGGUUCGUGCGGUCAGGGGCGUGUUUCCGAUUCAAGGUGUCGUGGAUAGUGCACGGGGUGGGGGACUAGGGCAGUGAGUGACAUCCAGCUCCUACUGGUGGAGUCCUAGGGCUGCAUGCCAACAACUGUAUUUCUCCUCCCCUCAACCCUCACGAACUAUAUAUUUUGUUUAUGCAAUUUCAAUGGCUUAGUUUCAUGUGUCAGAUCAUUGUUGCCUGCGUAUUCUUGUCUCCACCACUGAAGACCAAUGGUGACUGCGGGCAGUAUUCAUGCUCUGCUGCAGACUGAUCGUCCUCUUAUAUCAGGCUGAUCGUUAUUGCCCAAUUGGGCAAUGGUUGUCUCCUCUUAUACGAAACGUGAUGCGUGUUGAUCUUCUUAAAUAAUGCCUCUCAUACAUAUACUUCAAAUAUUGGUCAGACAAGAAUAGGAAAGCCUAUAGGUACAAAAUAGAUAGGAAAGCCUCUUUAAUUAUUUCAUUUCUAGGGUUUGAUGUCAAGGAGGUUCCUAUACCAAUGGUGACAGUGGGCAGUAUUCACGCUCUGAUGCAUGAAGCGGGAUUUAAUGAUGUACAAUUUUGGAGCUGUUGGUUUAAUUGUUCAAAUGGGAGCUUCAUAGGGGCAUGCUCUCAAUUCCAUUACCUUUCUAGAUUGUUGUUUCGUGGUUGACGCAAUACUCAGUUUAGUGGUUUCCUUUUGUUUUUGCUGCAAAGAGUGGAUGUUUUAGAAUGGUGCAGACAGGUUGAGCAGCAGUAGAUGUUUUUUAAGUCCUAGAUUGUUACUACCGAGAAUGGAACUCGAGAAGAGGUACUUUUGGUGUUGUCCUAUUACCUCCCGUAUCUAAUAGAUGACACAAAGUUAUCAGUUUAGUUGGCAAGAGAAAAAGUCCACAUCAAUUGUGAGGAUAUGAUGAUUGGCAUACCUACCCCCUGUGUAUGCCUCACUU